Megalobrama amblycephala (Wuchang bream) is the source of this 339-nucleotide long non-coding RNA. RefSeq lists it as uncharacterized. The record is from RefSeq and is a predicted model, not a curated record. NCBI's taxonomy places the organism in Eukaryota, Metazoa, Chordata, Actinopteri, Cypriniformes, Xenocyprididae. The transcript has 3 exons.
GAGAGGCGACACACUGGUUUCAUUGUGACACUUCAAAAAGUCUCGACUAUCACUAUGGCAACAGGGAUCCUGUUCACAAACAGACAGUGAUGUUGAUUAGAUUAACUCAGAUGACUGCCUGUAUCACACGUGUUCUUGUUGCCAUGGCAAAGUUGGCUGUGCUGGGAUGGUUACCAUGGUAACGGGGGAGAGAGUGUGUCAUAGAGGAGGAUGGUUUCACAGGGUUGUGUGUUUCUGCAAGGCAUCUGUGGCCACUGUAAGUCUGAACUCCAUUCUGGCUCCCGCAGGGCCUCCAUCACAACUGUAGGAGAAAAUCACAGUGAUAGUGAUUAACACAGU